AUGUAAACGUCUUUGCGGAAACUACUAGAAUCGACUAGAAUGGAUGUUAAUUGCUCAAUUAACAGCUGAAGAAUAAGCAAGAGCAUGUAGACGUUGAUUCUUAUGAUUCCUAUUUGCCGCAUGCAAUCCCUGCAUUGCAAGACCCAUGGCCUGGAAUGCAUAAUUAACCACCAAAAGACGGUGAUCAUCGCUUCUAAAAGUAGGUCAAUAAAUGAAAUAGAAGCGACACACUCUUUUUUGCCGGCUACAUAAACUCGUUUGAAGGUGAUUCAAGACAUCAGUUGUUCAAUUCAUCAAAAGUACGCAACACGAAACUAACAAAUGGAAUUUCUUUUGAUUUUAUUGGUUUACAUUUUCAUCGCUUAUUGAAAAGUUUCAAUUUCUUUUCGUAGUUUGUCAUCGGCACUUUCUUGGCUGUUGCUGCCGCUGCGCCUUCCAGCAACAAGCCGGAAUACAAAGCUCCUAGCUAUACUACCCCAAACUUCCCUGCCAUUAAAUACUAUGCUGCUCAAAGGGGGAAAAUAUAACUUUUUGUUCGAAACUGUGGCUAUUGAAAUAAUGCAGGGAAACUUAUGAAGACAAAACCAAAAUCAUGUCUUGAGUUCUUUGAGAUUCACUUGAACUUAACACCAGAGAAGGACCUGCCUUUGAUCAGAAACAGAACUGGUGAUAUCCAUAACAAAAUAAACUGUGAACUUUUACUAUUAAAAAUGGAGAAGUUGUGCAAUGUAAGACCACACUCAAGACACAAUUAAAUAGGAGUGAACGUGAACGUGAAAAAUAGAAUGUGUUUUUAUUCUGUAUCAAAUAAAGCUAAUGAAAACUAU
This is a long non-coding RNA of Daphnia magna, 827 nucleotides long. RefSeq lists it as uncharacterized. The transcript has 3 exons. The record is from RefSeq and is a predicted model, not a curated record. Lineage: Eukaryota; Metazoa; Arthropoda; Branchiopoda; Diplostraca; Daphniidae.